ACAGCUGCCCCCAUGGUUUCCAUGCCUGCAGAGUCUGGGGGCCCCGUCUUGUUUGUACGGACCCGGGGUCCCCUUACCCCCCGGCGGCUCCUUCUCAGCUCCCCUCCGCUAUUGGACUGGGUGCUUCUCGGGGUCCGGGACUUUAGGGCCCCCUUGCCCCAGGGACCACUGCUGAUCCAGAGAGGACAGCCUCUGCCCGAGGCUGGGGAAGGUGCCCUGGUACUGGAUACUAGGCCGGCCCUGCAAGGCCUCCUAGGGCCACACACACGCCUCAGUGUUACUGAACUGGAGGGAAGGGGGUAUCAGAGAGGGGAGGGCAGAUUUGAGGGGGCAGAGAAACCCAGUGAGUGUGUGGGCGGCCAGGCCCAUGAUGAUGAGGAGGCAGACACUGUGUACAUGUGGGGGCAGUUAGGGUGUGUUCCCAGUGGGGGGCCCUAUUUAUGCUCUACUCUCCUGUCCCCGGUCGUCUCCAGUUUUGCUAGAGAUGUGGGGCCUGUGCUGCUCCGUGUGGCCCCUGUGGAUGCAGAGUCCUUGGUAAGGACAGGGAGACUGCAGGAGGUUGGGGGUCCCGUGGACCGUGGGUCUUCUGUGUGGGUGAGUAAGAGCCAGUUGCGGGAGCUGGGCCUGUAUCACCGUGAGUGGGUGUGGGUGUCGCUGCCGGGACCUUUAGAUACUUUGGGGACAACGAGAGAAGCAUCUCCUGCUGGCCAAUCAGAGCACCUGGGAUCGCAAGGUGACAGGAGGCAUCUGGCCAUGAUAUUGGCUGCUGAACUGUGGCUGGGACACCCUCAGAAGUACAGCCAUCUCCUGAGUAUGCCAAGCAACACCUCCUGCGGCAGCCUCACCGGGGACGGGGCUGUCAUAUCCGCCACGCUUCUUUUCAAUCUGACGUUCGGAGCAGGCGCUGUCGGCGAGAUCCUUGUAGAGAGGUUUAGUAAUGAGGCGUCGGCGGGCAGUUCUUCUUCUCUGGCCAUGCCACCGUUUGCAAAAGAGCUUUAUGUAGAGAUUGUGAGAUCUCCAUUGUAUAACAUCGAUGGGAAGUAUGAUGAGGCUUUGCACCAGCACUUCCAGACUCCCAGGGUGGUGCAAGUCGGGGAUAUUCUGUGCAUCUCUACUCUAUCCCAUGCUGAAUUCUCACCGAACCAUCCAAAGAUUGGGGUCAGGUGUCCUGACCUUUACUUCAAGGUGCACAGGAUAGAGGGAGCUGCUGGGGCCGAGCCGCGCAUGGGUUUCAUCGCAGAUUCCAUCCACACCAGUCUCUACCAGGAAGGAAGCGCUCACAGCUUUGUCCCGUCCUUUCCUUCCCGUGAUGGUCACGUGUUCUGGAGCAGCGUGUCCCCGGCAGGUCUCUCGCAGGCCGUGGAUGAGAUGUGUCGUGUUCUGCAGCCUCAUCUCCAGGAUGCAGGUGACGUUCUGCCAGCACGCGGCAGGGUCCUGUUCUGUGGUCCGAGUGGCAGCGGAAAAGUGACCGUGAUGAAAGCUGUGUGCAGCCGGCUUAACCUGCAUCUCUAUCAGGUGGAGUGUGCCGGUCUGCGCAAAGAGAGCAGCUCCGGCAGCGUGUCCCGACUCCACGCGAUGUUCUCCCGCGCCGCUGAUCUCCGCCCGUGUGUCCUGCUGCUCAGCCACGUCGAGAUGCUGGGGAAGGAGAGAGAUGGCUCCAGUGAAGACAGCAGGACUGUUUCUGCCUUCCGUAGUCUGCUCCUAGAGGACAAAGAGCCACACGGGUUUCUGCCCCUUCUGAUAGUUGCCACGUCCUCCUGCCCGGGUGAUAUUCCUGCGGAUGUGCGGUCCUGUUUUGUCCAUGAGGUUUUUCUGGAUUCCCCCUCAGAAGACCAACGCGGUUCAAUGCUGACCGCGCUCACCACUCCUCUGCCGCUCAGCCGGGACGUCAGCAUUAGCCAACUGGCUCGCAGGACUGCAGGUUUUGUGCUGGGCGACCUCUGUGCUCUGCUUUCAAAUGCCAGCCGGAUCGCGUGUGCCAGGAUCGGACACUCAUGCGCUCUCACUGAGGAGGAUGAAGAGGGUCUUCUGGCUGCCGGUUUUCCAGUGACUUCCCAGGAUUUUGAAGAAGCGCUUGCACAGCUGCAGGACUCUCAUUCUCAGGCAGUCGGGGCACCCAAGGUCCCCUGCGUGCGCUGGCAGGAUGUCGGAGGGCUGCAUGAUGUCAAACGCCAUCUCCUCGAUACGGUGCAGCUUCCUCUGGAGCAUCCAGAGCUCCUAUCUCUGGGUCUCCGGAGGUCGGGGGUUCUACUCUAUGGUCCCCCUGGUUCUGGAAAAACCUUGCUGGCCAAAGCUGUGGCCACUGAGUGUGCCAUGACCUUCCUAAGCGUGAAAGGACCAGAAUUAAUAAAUAUGUAUGUGGGACAGAGCGAAGAGAAUGUCCGAGAAGUGUUCACUCGCGCUCGUGCAGCUGCUCCUUGCAUCGUGUUUUUUGAUGAAUUGGAUUCCUUGGCUCCCAAUCGAGGAAAGAGCGGAGACUCGGGUGGAGUGAUGGACAGGGUGGUCUCCCAGUUGCUGGCCGAGCUGGAUGGUCUUCACUCCUCGAAUGACGUCUUUGUGAUCGGAGCUACAAACCGCCCCGACCUGCUGGAUUCCGCUUUACUGCGACCAGGGAGGUUUGACAAGCUGCUUUACGUUGGGGUUAAUGAAGAUCGUGAGUCCCAGCUGAGAGUCUUGUCUGCAAUAACACGCAAGUUCUCCCUGGAGCCGGCGAUGGAUCUCUCUCAGGUGAUCGCGCGCUGUCCUGCGGCGCUGUCCGGUGCUGAUCUCUAUGCGCUUUGUGCCGAUGCUAUGAUGAGAGCUGUUAAGGAGAAGAUUGAACAUCUGGAGCGGGGGCAGGAAGUCCCAGCUGAAGAUCUUGUAAUCGGCAUGGAGCAUUUUGUGCAGGCUGCAGAGUGUCUCCGUCCAUCAGUGUCAGCCCGUGAGCUGCAGCGUUAUGAGAGCAUCCGGAGGCAGUUCUCUGCCCCUCCACAUCCCGUGAGACACGGAGACUGAGACGGAGGAACUAAACUCUGUGCCAGCACUGACCUAGGGGUGACAUGGCAGGUAUACAGAAAUCAGAUCUAUAGGGGUGACAUGGCAGGUAGACGGGGAUCAGAUCUAUAGGGUUAACAUGGCAGGUAGAUGGGGAUCAGAUCUCUAGGGGUAACAUGGCAGGUAGAUGGGGAUCGGAUCUAUAGGGGUGACAUGGCAGGUAGAUGGGGAUCAGAUCUCUAGGGGUAACAUGGCAGGUAGAUGGGGAUCAGAUCUCUAGGGGUAACAUGGCAGGUAGACGGGGAUCAGAUCUCUAGGGGUAACAUGGCAGGUAGACGGGGAUC
Molecule: RNA transcript, 3317 nt
Organism: Spea bombifrons (plains spadefoot toad)
Lineage: Eukaryota; Metazoa; Chordata; Amphibia; Anura; Pelobatidae
Gene: PEX6
Gene name: peroxisomal biogenesis factor 6
Exons: 18
Source: RefSeq, a predicted model, not a curated record